This 468-nucleotide ribosomal RNA is filed under the name uncultured bacterium. RNAcentral's name for it is "partial 16S ribosomal RNA". It matches the Rfam family "Bacterial small subunit ribosomal RNA", at positions 28 to 507 of the family's 1533-position model. The record is from RNAcentral.
GACGAACGCUGGCGGCGUGCUUAACACAUGCAAGUCGAACGGAAAGGCCCUGCUUUUGUGGGGUGCUCGAGUGGCGAACGGGUGAGUAACACGUGAGUAACCUGCCCUUGACUUUGGGAUAACUUCAGGAAACUGGGGCUAAUACCGGAUAGGAGCUCCUGCUGCAUGGUGGGGGUUGGAAAGUUUCGGCGGUUGGGGAUGGACUCGCGGCUUAUCAGCUUGUUGGUGGGGUAGUGGCUUACCAAGGCUUUGACGGGUAGCCGGCCUGAGAGGUUGACCGGCCACAUGGGGACUGAGAUAGGGCCCAGACUCGAACGGGAGGCAGUAGUGGGGAAUAUUGCACAAUGGGAGGAAGCCUGAUGCAGCAACGCCGCGUGCGGGAUGACGGCCUUCGGGUUGUAAACAGCUGUCGCCUGUGACGAAGCGUGAGUGACGGUAAUGGGUAAAGAAGCACCGGCUAACUACGUG